CAUUCUCUUUGCCUUUGACCUGCACACCUCCAGCAAGCACAGAGAGAUCUCAGAGGAGUCUGUCCCAAGGAUUCCUGCCGAUGCUUGUCUGAUCCUGCCUUCUGGGAAGCAUGGCCGCCACAGGAUUACGGGACAAAUAUAGACCCUGAGACACACAGCUGCUCUGAGAGGCACACUCUACAGCCUUGCUUGGCUCCAGGUGCUGCCAAGUCUUGAAACUCACGCCCAUCCCAACAAUGCCUUCAGGAGCCAUGGCCACAGCCGUAUGAGACCAUUACAGAGCAGGACUUGACCUUGCUACACAGCAAGCCUCCCAAGUGGCCCCACCACCUCCCAUGUCCAGCUACCAGGGCAGACUAGAGAAUGUCUGUGCCCCGGAUCCAAGUGGAAGAAGUGGGUGAGAAAGACAGGCCAGCAGGGGCAGCCAUACCUCCCGACGACCACCUCCUCAGCCUGAAGGCCCUCACUGAGAAGCUGAGGCUGGAGACCCGAAGACCUUCCUACCUGGAAUGGCAAGCCAAGCUGGAGGAGCAGACCUGGCCUUUUCCGAGGCCAGCUGCCCAGCAAGAGGCGAGUCUGGAGCAGGGAGCAUGUGGGGGUGGAGAGCCUUUGAUGUCUCUAAGGGAGCCCAGAGAGCUUCUUCCACCUGCCAGGAGUGCCAGUGGGGGUGACAGGCCACUGGCCACAGACAAGCUGGAAGGCUUCCGGAGUAUCGACGAAGCCAUCGCCUGGCUCAGAAAGGAACUGGUGAGUGACUGCCCGCCAAGAGGCCAUGGAUGUGUCAUGCAUGUUUCCUCUCGCCAUCUUUCUGUCUGACUGUCUGUCUUCCCACAUCAUGUUUGUCCCUCUA
RNAcentral lists this long non-coding RNA (850 nucleotides) under Rattus norvegicus (Norway rat). RNAcentral describes it as "long non-coding RNA NONRATT010545". Lineage: Eukaryota; Metazoa; Chordata; Mammalia; Rodentia; Muridae. The record is from RNAcentral.